AACGCGAAGAACCUUACCUGGGCUUGACAUCCAAAGAACCCUUACGAAAGUAGGGGGUGCCUUCGGGAGCUUUGAGACAGGUGGUGCAUGGUUGUCGUCAGCUCGUGUCGUGAGAUGUUGGGUUAAGUCCCGCAACGAGCGCAACCCUUGCCUUUAGUUGCCAGCAGUUCGGCUGGGCACUCUAAAGGGACUGCCGGUGUUAAANCCGGAGGAAGGUGGGGAUGACGUCAAGUCCUCAUGGCCUUUAUGANCCAGGGCUACACACGUACUACAAUGGCCGAUACAAAGGGCAGCGACACUGNCGAGGUGGAGCCAAUCCCAUAAAAUCGGUCUCAGUCCGGAUUGGAGUCUGCAACUCGACUCCAUGAAGUUGGAAUCGCUAGUAAUCGCGGAUCAGCAUGCCGCGGUGAAUACGUUCCCGGGUCUUGUACACACCG
This 437-nucleotide ribosomal RNA is filed under the name uncultured bacterium. RNAcentral describes it as "bacterial SSU rRNA". It matches the Rfam family "Bacterial small subunit ribosomal RNA", at positions 958 to 1392 of the family's 1533-position model. The record is from RNAcentral.